This 217-nucleotide long non-coding RNA is filed under the name Carica papaya (papaya). Its description in RNAcentral is "long non-coding RNA (CPAP_LNC003181)". The record is from RNAcentral. Lineage: Eukaryota; Viridiplantae; Streptophyta; Magnoliopsida; Brassicales; Caricaceae.
GAAGAAGACCAAAUAAUUAAAACCCAUCAAUUAACCAAAUAUGGUUAAUAACUACUCAAAUCUAUAUCGAGAUAUAUAUUAUGUACACAUACAAAGCUUUAUCCAUGUCUGAUAAGGUGAUUUUAGAUUCAGCGACAAAGGUGGAAAGCAAAUCAUAGAAAUAAUUAGGACCACAACUAGAAUCUCUUUUCAUUUCAUACAUUGCUAUAAGAAAGUG